Molecule: long non-coding RNA, 825 nt
Filed under: Marmota monax (woodchuck)
Lineage: Eukaryota; Metazoa; Chordata; Mammalia; Rodentia; Sciuridae
Source: RNAcentral
CUAAUAUGGACCAGAAAGGCAGGCCAACGAAGAGGUUUCCAUGACUGCUGUACCCUUCAGCCGGGUACCCUGCAGGUGCUCUCUGAAAUCAGCUUAAAAAUAUUUCGCCCGCCCACCUCUUCUGAGCGCAGGCUGAAAAGUGGAGUCUCUAUUUGUCCUCUCAGAAAGUUUGUUUUUGGGCAGGGCUGACAGUCCUGUUGAGUACUAGAGUUUCAGAUUAGGGCUGCAGUUGGAGAAGGGUUGCAGUAAAUGGCAGUGGCGGAAACUGCUGGUUCUCAGAAGUCCUUCUACUCCUCUUACAGCGUGUUAGAACCCCUGAUUUUUCCCCAAGCACAAAUGCACCCUGACUAAAGAUUACAUUACCCAGUAUUCCUUGCAAUUGAUUCCAUCUAUGUGAUUAAAAUCUGGCCAAUAAAAUAUAGGGCAGCUUUCCAGUACUUUGGUGACAGCUGACUGUUUCUUUGUUCCCUUUGCUUCUCUUCUGACAGUGAGUGUUCUUAGAGCCACCUCUCACCACUAGGAAAGUAAUUUUGAAGUUUAAAUUGAACUAUAGAAAAUAUAACCUGCCUGGGGGUGACCUAGUUGGCAUUGGAGACCCCAAGAUUUUCUGAAAGCUUGAAGGCGAGAAUGGGAAGUAAAAUAGCCAUUUAAACAAUGAUCAGUUUUCAGUCACCCAGGAGGUGAAGACUGGACAUUCACAUUUGGGUAGACUGAGAAAAGCAUCUUUAGGACUUUUGAGUUCUACAAAUCUUCACCUCUGGCUCCUGGAAAAAUCUUGAAGUCAUCUGAAUAUACAUAUUUUAUCCUCAGAAUAAAACACUGGUC